UACGUAGGGUGCAAGCGUUAAUCGGAAUUACUGGGCGUAAAGCGUGCGCAGGCGGGCUCUUAAGUCGGUGGUGAAAUCCUGGAGCUCAACUCCAGAACUGCCUCCGAUACUGGGAGUCUUCGAGUCCGGGAGAGGUGAGUGGAACUGCGAGUGUAGAGGUGAAAUUCGUAGAUAUUCGCAAGAACACCAGUGGCGAAGGCGGCUCACUGGCCCGGUACUGACGCUGAGGUGCGAAAGCGUGGGGAGCAAACAGG
RNAcentral lists this ribosomal RNA (254 nucleotides) under uncultured bacterium. RNAcentral describes it as "partial 16S ribosomal RNA". It matches the Rfam family "Bacterial small subunit ribosomal RNA", at positions 524 to 776 of the family's 1533-position model. The record is from RNAcentral.